GUGCAUUGCUGUGUAUUGGUGUGUAUUGCAGUGUAUUGGUGUGUAUUGGUGUAAAGUGGUGUGUGUAUUAGUGUGUAUUAGUGUGUAUUAGUGUGCAUUGCUGUGUAUUGCUGUGUAUUAGUGUGUAUUGCAGUGUAUUGGUGUGUAUUGGUGUGUAUUGCAGUGUAUUGGUGUGUGUUGUUGUGUAUUAGUGUGUACUGGUGUGUAUUGGUGUGUAUUGGUGUGUAUUAGUGUGUAUUAGUGUGUGUUGUUGUGUAUUAGUGUGUACUGGUGUGUAUUG
Molecule: long non-coding RNA, 280 nt
Organism: Ictalurus punctatus (channel catfish)
Lineage: Eukaryota; Metazoa; Chordata; Actinopteri; Siluriformes; Ictaluridae
Source: Ensembl